GUUUCUUUUUCCUGUUUGCCGUCCGAACGAUGAAUUUGUUUUAGUCUCAGGAGAAGCUUACGAGGGAAGCCAUAAAGCACGCGCUGAAGGCAUUAAGGAAACGCCAUUUGCUUGAAGAAGGCGCUCAUGCUCCUGCUUGUAUUGCUCUUUCAAGACCGAUUAUCGCUCAGGGCUCAGAAUGGAAGGAGAAAGCAGAAAAACUCGAAUUGGAACUUCAGCAAUUUUACAAAGCUCAAUCUCGAUUAUCCGAGCAACUUGUGGUGGAGGUAGCAGAGUCCAGAGCAUCAAAAGCUGCCUUAGAAGAAAAAGAAGCAGCAUUCACUGAUUUGCAAAAGGAGUUGGCUCAAACAAUGUUGCCUUCUAUGUUUUAGCCUGCUAGGGAGAUACUUAUGAGGUUUUAUGGUGUCAAGAAAUAUUUAAACAUUGUUUUUGUGCUGCAGUGAUGAAUGCUCUCAAUUAAAGGCAGCUUUGGAAGAAAAGAUUAAGGCUUUAGAAUUGGUUGUGAGUGAGAAUCACUCACUUCGAAAGCAAUUAGAACAGAUGACUGUCAAGGCUAAGAAUGCAGAAGCAGAAAAUAAGAUGUUAGUUGAUCGCUGGAUGCUGCAAAAGAUGCAGGAUGCUGAACGUCUUAAUGAGGUGCUUUUUGUCUUAUUAUAAUUGAAAUGAAAGUGUGGAAGAGAUUUAAUUGGUAUGCUGACCGUCUUAAUCUUUUAGUCCUAAAUUUGUCUUCCUUUUUUUUGUGUAACACUUCAUAGAGAAAAUUCUUCUUAAGCUGUUAUAAUGAACUAGUAAUUCUAUGAAAUCUAAAUAUGUUCUUGAAGGGCUUUUCUGAAAGGUUUUUUUAAUGUCUUCCCUUCAUAAAUCCAUUGGUCACUAAGAGAAUUUGCAUGGAGAUACUCUCCUUAUAUCAUUUAUGUACCAUGCAGGGAAGGUAGUUAACUUUGUACCGUUUAUUUUGUCAUCUUGCCUGCACAUUAAGUACCAGAGCGUUGUACGUUAGUUUUGUUCAUAUUAUUGGGUAUUGCAUUUCGAGUGUUGUAACAUAAUUGUCUCACUUAUCUGUCGUUGCAGACUGAUCUUAUUGUUGCCAAAGCAUUAUUCAGUUGUAUGCUGAAGUUUAUAUAGUUUGUUUUAAGUUCUUAAUGUUGGUUUUUGUGGGCUUAUAUUUAAAUUAUUUUUUCCUCUGUUACUUAUGGUAUAUAUGUGGCUGACUAUUGAUUCCAUAUUUAAAUUAUUUUUUCCUCUGUUACUUAUGGUAUAUAUGUGGCUGACUAUUGAUUCC
RNAcentral lists this unclassified non-coding RNA (1282 nucleotides) under Hevea brasiliensis (rubber tree). The record is from RNAcentral. Lineage: Eukaryota; Viridiplantae; Streptophyta; Magnoliopsida; Malpighiales; Euphorbiaceae.